Molecule: long non-coding RNA, 446 nt
Filed under: Heterocephalus glaber (naked mole-rat)
Lineage: Eukaryota; Metazoa; Chordata; Mammalia; Rodentia; Bathyergidae
Description: lncRNA (ENSHGLG00000036904.1)
Source: RNAcentral
AGAAAAGCCAUGUUUUCCCUCCUCGGCAAGGCUUGGCUCCUGGUUUUUCUCCCUAUCCUGUUCCUUUCAGCUCUGGCGUCUCCAUGCUGACCACGUUGACCGUCACCAGCCAGCACCCCCUCCCCUAGGUUUCAGCGUGUGAGAGCCUGGGGGCUGGAGAGCUGGGCUGAGGCAGCCAGCACACAACGGCCAACAGCUGACCUCAGCCACUGGCGGCCAGCUAACUGCGUGCUUCUGCUCCAACAACCCACACGACCUGGUUUUACACUAGAAGAUUCUCAAGCUCAGCUCUUAUGCCUGAACUUUGGCUCACACAGCCAGUGUCAAAGUCAUCGUCAUCAUCAUCAUCAUCAUCAUCAUCAUCAUCAUCAUCAUCCACCCACACCAUUCUUCUGUUAUGAAAACAUUGUAUUUUACUAUAACUGAUCAUCUUUAUCAUCCAUGCC